Long non-coding RNA from Alosa alosa (allis shad), 524 nucleotides. RefSeq lists it as uncharacterized. The record is from RefSeq and is a predicted model, not a curated record. The transcript is spliced from 4 exons. NCBI's taxonomy places the organism in Eukaryota, Metazoa, Chordata, Actinopteri, Clupeiformes, Clupeidae.
GCAGUAGACUCCGGACAGACUCCGCCUUCAAACUGGCAAAUCCGUGUAACUGUCACCUCUGUUUUACUGUCGUGAUGGAGACAUUGACCCGGAUCAGACACCAGGGGGCGGGAAAGCACAGUCACAACUGAUACGGCCAGCCGUCGUGAAACGCAAGCGCGAAUUUUUAGUUCUACGAUUUCGUCGACUGCCUUACCGCCGGCAGAGCUGAGUUAGACGUUAACGGAGGCGGUUGGUGAACACGAGAGCUAGUGAAAAGAAGAGUUUGUUUGAUUUGUUUCAGCCCCAGGACUGAGGCGUUCAGGUGGCGUGAUUGGCGUGCCCUGUCUGCAAUCCUCCCUUUCAGUAAGUCUCUUCAGCCCCAGGACCGAGGUGUUGAGGUGGCGUGAAUUCGGCGUGCCCUGUCUGCAAUCCUGCCUUUCAGUAAGGGGCAGUAAGGACAAGAUCCACCCACCACCCAGUGCAUGCUACAUAUGUGUGUGUAAUAAAUUGAGAGGGAAAGUGUGUGUGAUAAAUGAAAUUUA